This 502-nucleotide ribosomal RNA is filed under the name uncultured bacterium. Its description in RNAcentral is "partial 16S ribosomal RNA". It matches the Rfam family "Bacterial small subunit ribosomal RNA", at positions 28 to 507 of the family's 1533-position model. The record is from RNAcentral.
GACGAACGCUGGCGGCGUGCUUAACACAUGCAAGUCGAACGGUGAAGGGGUCUGCUUUUGUGGGCCCUGGAUGAGUGGCGAACGGGUGAGUAACACGUGAGUAACCUGCCCCCUUCUUCUGGAUAACCGCAUGAAAGUGUGGCUAAUACGGGAUAUUCUGGGUCUGUCGCAUGAUGGGUCUGGGAAAGAUUGCGCCUUUGGGUGUUUUUGGUGGGGGAUGGGCUCGCGGCCUAUCAGCUUGUUGGUGGGGUGAUGGCCUACCAAGGCGGUGACGGGUAGCCGGCCUGAGAGGGUGGACGGUCACACUGGGACUGAGACACGGCCCAGACUACUACGGGAGGCAGCAGUGGGGAAUAUUGCACAAUGGGCGCAAGCCUGAUGCAGCGACGCCGCGUGAGGGAUGGAGGCCUUCGGGUUGUAAACCUCUUUCGCCAGUGAAGCAGGCCUGCUCCUUGUGGGUGGGUUGACGGUAGCUGGAGAAGAAGCGCCGGCUAACUACGUG